CCACUACAUAUUUAUUCGACGUCAAAGCAGGACAUUUGUUUUAAAAGCCAAGGCAUGUUAACAGAAGUUGGGGGAAAAGACAAUAAUUAUUUAGUGAAUCCUGGGCAGUGGCAUUGCGUUUGAGGUCUUCCUCAAUAGUUGACUCAUCUGGAAACCCAGUCCUGAAAUAGAGUUUAGCAAACAUAGUGAUGGCAAGAAUACUAACCAGGCAGUGUCGUGUCCUAAGCAGAGAUGGUUCCCGCACACAAAUAUUCCACUUCCUGGCACAUACGCCCACCUCUUGGUCUGGCGUCACCUGGAUUUUGAGUUCAUCAUUGGCUACAGUAGUCUCUACCAAUGGAUCUUAUACUAGACAUAAACUUAUUUUGGUCAUUGAUGAUAAUGUUUGUCUUCUUCUAUUUGCAUGUGUUCAUUACAGUACCUCCCUGAUAUUGAUCUAGUGCUCUAUGGCUUACCAAAGACAACCGUGAGAAGGAGCAUUUUCCACUAGAAGCUCCUUCAUCCACCAUAUGAAAACCUGUUGCCAUACUUCACCCAAACAGGGACAGCUUUAGAAAUAUGCCUUUCCCUUUUCUCCAGUGAGGGUCAGGAGCAGACUCUGGGCUGCGGCAGGGUGUAGUUUGACUUCUGGCUCUGGUGUUCACUGGCUUUGGGUUCUUGAGCAGAAGCAGAGUUUCUCUGAGCCUCCGUUUCCCCUCUCCUUCCACCCCAUACACCAUCUCUGCCCAGUCAGAUGAGAGACUCUAGGUUCAGUGAGGGCUGACAUUUACAUAAAUGUGGGAUAAUACAUCACUCAGAGUGGAGAAAGAGUGGGAUCUUCUGUAGCUUAAGAUGGGCAAUUUCUUAGAUUCAUCUUGGUUUGGAGAGCUGCUUGCUGGGAAGGAACUAGACUGAUUCUCCUGGACACUGUGAGAUACCCUACUCCUAAUCCAAAAUCAGCCUUUAUCAGAGUGGAUCCACCAUAGAGGGGAUGUCUCCACAUGGAAGAGGAGUUUAGGCUAGUGAACUUGGCUUAAUACAAAGAGCUGGGAGUUCCUGGGGAAGAGCUGAAUUUGGCAUGGUAUGUGGUGAGGCCAAGACCCUCCAGGAUCUCAUCUUUGUGGCACGAUAGGGACAACCUUGGAGCCCGAGUGUGGCUCAUGACUUCAUUGUGAUUAGAAAUCUAUUCAUCAAGAUGGGACCUAAUUAAACUAAAAAGCUUCUGCACAGCCAAAGAAAUAAUCAGCAGAGUAAACAGACAACCCACAGAGUGGGAGAUAAUAUUCACAAUCUAUGCAUCUGACAAAAGGUGAAUAUCCAGAAUCUACAAGGACUCAAACAAAGCAGCAAGAAAAAAAUAAUAAUCCCAUCAAAAAGUGGGCAAAGUACAUGAACAGACCAUUCUCAAAGGCAUACAAAUGUCAAGAAACAUAUGAAAAAAAUGUUCAACAUCAUUAAUUACCAGGAAAAUACAAAUUAAAACCACAAUGAGAUACCACCUUACUCCUGCAAGAAUGGCCAUAAUUGAAAAAUCAAAAAAUAAUAGAUGUUGGCAUUGAUGUGGUGGAAAGGGAAUGCUUUUACACCGCUGGUGGGAAUGUAAACUAGUACAACCACUAUGGAAAACAGUAUGAAGAUUCCUUAAAGAACUAAAAGUAGAUCUAACAUAUGAUCCAG
This 1656-nucleotide long non-coding RNA is filed under the name Homo sapiens (human). Its description in RNAcentral is "HSALNT0184688". Lineage: Eukaryota; Metazoa; Chordata; Mammalia; Primates; Hominidae. The record is from RNAcentral.